AGAAAAGGGCUAAGAGUUUUACAAUUCUAUUAAAUGUUCUUUGUCGAUUUCUGAAGUUUUCAAGUCUUGACACAUUUUAUGAUUAAUUUUGAGGGUUCAAAUGGAGUUAUAUUGGGUUUUGAUGUUUCAAUUGUUGAAUCUGGGCCGUUCUGUUGCUGUUUAUUGCUUUCACCUCUUUUCCUUUUGCAUUUUCCAGAUAUACCUUCAAAACUUAUCAUGGAAUUGAAUAUUGACUAGCAUGUAUGAGGAUCCGGGAAAUCAAGUUGAAGUUUGAAUGGAAACCUUAAAUUUCUAAUGUAAUUAUUGUUAUUUACUACCAUUAUGUGCGAUUGAAUGCUUUAGUUUUGUAGUAGUUCAAUUUCUGGUUUAUGUGGGGUUGUUUGUUCAUGCUAAUAGCUUAUGGUAAUUUAGUUAUUCAGAUUUAGUGUGUAAUUUCAAAAUAAUGGGAUGUUGUAAUAGCAUUUGAG
RNAcentral lists this long non-coding RNA (467 nucleotides) under Nicotiana benthamiana. RNAcentral's name for it is "long non-coding RNA (NBEN_LNC004398)". The record is from RNAcentral. Lineage: Eukaryota; Viridiplantae; Streptophyta; Magnoliopsida; Solanales; Solanaceae.